CCCCGCCUCUUUAUCUUUAUCUUUAUCUCGGAGGUCCACAACACUGUGGAUUUGUAAUUGGACUCCGGACAACCAAGAGAAGGAGAAUGAAUGAAAAACUGAGAUUACUUGUCCUUCUUUCGGCCGAGUGUUGUUAUUAUUCGAGUCCAGCACAUUCUUUACCAAUGUGGUGUACUUAUAGAGGAGGAGGACCACAUAAACGAUAAACAUUGUUAAGAGCAUAAUAAAAAUGGGCCCCACGAAAUCGGGGAGUCCCAACAAAAAAGAUUGAAUGGAAGCCCAUAUUUGCU
RNAcentral lists this long non-coding RNA (290 nucleotides) under Oryza brachyantha (malo sina). RNAcentral's name for it is "long non-coding RNA (OBRA_LNC003597)". Lineage: Eukaryota; Viridiplantae; Streptophyta; Magnoliopsida; Poales; Poaceae. The record is from RNAcentral.